ACUCUCUUAGCUCAAUUGGAAGAGCAACGGUCUUCUAAACCGUAGGUUGUUGGUUCGAAUCCAAUAGGGAGUGCCA
RNAcentral lists this transfer RNA (76 nucleotides) under Chloroflexota bacterium. RNAcentral describes it as "tRNA-Arg". It matches the Rfam family "tRNA". Rfam says of the family: Transfer RNA (tRNA) molecules are approximately 80 nucleotides in length. Their secondary structure includes four short double-helical elements and three loops (D, anti-codon, and T loops). Lineage: Bacteria; Bacillati; Chloroflexota. The record is from RNAcentral.